UACGGAGGGGGCUAGCGUUGUUCGGAAUUACUGGGCGUAAAGCGCACGUAGGCGGCUUUGUAAGUUAGAGGUGAAAGCCCGGGGCUCAACUCCGGAAUUGCCUUUAAGACUGCAUCGCUAGAACGUCGGAGAGGUAAGUGGAAUUCCGAGUGUAGAGGUGAAGUUCGUAGAUAUUCGGAAGAACACCAGUGGCGAAGGCGGCUCACUGGCCCGAUACUGACGCUGAGGCACGAAAGCGUGGGGAGCAAACAGG
This 253-nucleotide ribosomal RNA is filed under the name uncultured bacterium. RNAcentral describes it as "partial 16S ribosomal RNA". It matches the Rfam family "Bacterial small subunit ribosomal RNA", at positions 524 to 776 of the family's 1533-position model. The record is from RNAcentral.